Gnomoniopsis sp. IMI 355080 is the source of this 98-nucleotide non-coding RNA. The record is from the annotation of a GenBank genome assembly. Lineage: Eukaryota; Fungi; Ascomycota; Sordariomycetes; Diaporthales; Gnomoniaceae.
GGGAAGAUGGCCGAGUGGUUAAGGCGCUGUGUUUAGGUUAUUGAUUCUCAUCUUUACCGCAGUUCGAAAGAGCCUGGGUUCAAGUCCCAGUCUUCUCA